UUAUUUUACAUAAUAUAUCUUUCAACUAAGUACUUGUUUUUAACUUAUCAUGAUGAGAUAUUCUGCUGCUUGACAAGCUUCUCUUGACAUGAAUGGUGUUCACCUAUCUCCUACAGUAGAAACUUCGUUCCUUAAACCUUUCUUCAUUCCUAACUUGUUGUAUUUCUGCCUUUUUGCAGCUCGAAAGGUUCGACUCUAUAUCAUAUUCAUGGGAGGAAUUACUUUAAAUGCAGGUUCAACGUGUAAAUUCAGAAAAUCUUUCGGAGAUGGGAUGAAAGAAUGGUUACUUGUCACUUUUUCAAACAAUCAAACUGAUGUUUUCAUUUUAUAUUUUUUUCACUUCCGAUGUAAUUUUAACUAAAAUGGGUCAAAUGGAAUUAAGUUAAUAAAUAAUGUUAAAAGUUAAAACGUGACACAUGAAAUAGCACUUGCUCCUGUCACCAUUGAUAUGUGGCCAAAAUGGAGCACCCCCAUGAUGUAGGGCACAAUCUUCUUCUGUCUUCCUCUGAUUUUGGUUAUACGUGAUCUCCCGGUAGUACCCAAGCUGCUAUGUGGUAGGCUAUUCUACUUAACUUUAUGUGAAGUCCACUAAGACUCAAUUGUAGCAGGUCUUGCUGUGGGAGAAAUUGCUGGCAUAUCUGUUGCUGUAAUUAUUGUUGCACUCUUUUUGGCUGCUUUUCUUUGGAUUGCUUUUGCUAAAAGAAGGAAGCAGAAGGAUGGACAGUUGAUUCCCUCUGAUUCUGGCAUUGAGAUCUCCAAGCAAACAUUUGGAUCUUUAAACCGAUCAGAUGAAUUUGGUGUAUCAUUGGGGCCUUCAGGAAUUACUGUGGACAAGUCUGUAGAAUUUACUUAUGAAGAGCUUGCAGAGGCUACAAAUGACUUCUCCAUGGCUAAUAAAAUAGGACAAGGAGGAUUUGGAGCUGUUUACUAUGCUGAAUUAAGAGGAGAGCAAGCUGCAGUCAAGAGGAUGGAAAUGGAAUCAAGUUCAUCUACAGAAUCAUUUCUUGCUGAAUUGAAGGUUUUGACUCGUGUUCAUCAUGUCAACCUGGUACAUACAGUCUCCUAUCAUAU
Long non-coding RNA from Nymphaea colorata (pocket water lily), 1071 nucleotides. RefSeq lists it as uncharacterized. The transcript has 4 exons. Lineage: Eukaryota; Viridiplantae; Streptophyta; Magnoliopsida; Nymphaeales; Nymphaeaceae. The record is from RefSeq and is a predicted model, not a curated record.